RNAcentral lists this ribosomal RNA (253 nucleotides) under uncultured bacterium. Its description in RNAcentral is "partial 16S ribosomal RNA". It matches the Rfam family "Bacterial small subunit ribosomal RNA", at positions 524 to 776 of the family's 1533-position model. The record is from RNAcentral.
UACGAAGGUCUCAAGCGUUGUUCGGAUUUACUGGGCGUAAAGGGCGCGUAGGCGGCGCAACAAGUCAGCUGUGAAAUCUCCGGGCUUAACCCGGAGCGGCCAGCUGAUACUGUCGUGCUAGAGUGCGGAAGGGGCUACUGGAAUUCUCGGUGUAGCGGUGAAAUGCGUAGAUAUCGAGAGGAACACCUGUGGCGAAGGCGGGUAGCUGGGCCGACACUGACGCUGAGGCGCGAAAGCUAGGGGAGCGAACGGG